AGCAGCCGCGGUAAUUCCAGCUCCAAUAGCGUAUAUUAAAGUUGUUGCAGUUAAAAAGCUCGUAGUUGAAUUUCGAGACCGGUUUAUUGGUCGUGCUUUUGUACGUACUGGUAUUAUUGGUUUCUCCUUUCUGACGAAUCAUAAUGCCAUUAAUUUGGUGUUUUGGGGAAUCAGGACUGUUACUUUGAAAAAAUUAGAGUGUUUAAAGCAGGCUCACGCUUGAAUACAUUAGCAUGGAAUAACGAAAUAGGACGUUUGAUUUUAUUUUGUUGGUUUCUAGGAUCGACGUAAUGAUUAAUAGGGAUAGUUGGGGGCAUUAGUAUUCAAUUGUCAGAGGUGAAAUUCUUGGAUUUAUUGAAGACUGACUACUGCGAAAGCAUUUGCCAAGGAUGUUUUCAUUAAUCAAGAACGAAAGUUAGGGGAUCGAAGACGAUCAGAUACCGUCGUAGUCUUAACCAUAAACUAUGCCGACUAGGGAUCGGAUGAUGUUAAUUUUUAAUGGCUCAUUCGGCGCCUUACG
RNAcentral lists this ribosomal RNA (520 nucleotides) under uncultured Glomus. Its description in RNAcentral is "SSU rRNA". It matches the Rfam family "Eukaryotic small subunit ribosomal RNA", at positions 569 to 1092 of the family's 1831-position model. Lineage: Eukaryota; Fungi; Glomeromycota; Glomeromycetes; Glomerales; Glomeraceae. The record is from RNAcentral.